AUGACCUUCCAAGUUUUAUAAAGAAGUUGAUGAUUCCAUUUGCGUACUAAAUCGAACAAUUCCUCUCAUAUACCUAGCGUAUUGAGGUUUUAAUGGAGAUUGUGUCCGCGCAGCCCAUAUCUUGUUACAUUCUUUGAAUGCAGUGACACUAUAAUCGUUAGUAAAUUCUGAUUCUUU
This is a small nuclear RNA of Eremothecium sinecaudum, 177 nucleotides long. The record is from RefSeq and is a predicted model, not a curated record. Lineage: Eukaryota; Fungi; Ascomycota; Saccharomycetes; Saccharomycetales; Saccharomycetaceae.